CCUACGGGAGGCAGCAGUGAGGAAUAUUGGUCAAUGGGCGAGAGCCUGAACCAGCCAAGUCGCGUGAGGGAGUACUGCCCUAUGGGUUGUAAACCUCUUUUGUCGGGGAGCAAAAGCCGGACGUGUCCGGCUGUGAGAGUGCCCGAAGAAAAAGCAUCGGCUAACUCCGUGCCAGCAGCCGCGGUAAUACGGAGGAUGCGAGCGUUAUCCGGAUUUAGUGGGUUUAAAGGGUGCGCAGGCGGGGUUUUAAGUCAGCGGUAAAAUCGUGGGGCUCAACCCCAGCCGGCCGUUGAAACUGGGGGUCUAGAGUGGGCGAGAGGUAUGCGGAAUGCGUGGUGUAGCGGUGAAAUGCAUAGAUAUCACGCAGAACCCCGAUUGCGAAGGCAGCAUACCGGUGCACAACUGACGCUCAGGCACGAAAGCGUGGGUAUCGAACAGGAUUAGAUACCCGGGUAGUC
RNAcentral lists this ribosomal RNA (458 nucleotides) under uncultured bacterium. RNAcentral describes it as "partial 16S ribosomal RNA". It matches the Rfam family "Bacterial small subunit ribosomal RNA", at positions 338 to 795 of the family's 1533-position model. The record is from RNAcentral.